UUUAACAAGUACAUCUGAGCAGAGAGAACUUUAGCUCACACCCCCGAAACUAGAGCGACCUACUUCAAGACAGCCUAACGGAACAACUCCCUGAAGGGCACACCCGUGUCUGUAGCAAAAGACUGGGAAGAUCUUCAAGUAGCAGCGAUACACCUAUCGAGCCUAGUAAUAGCUGGUUGCCUAAGAAAUGAAUGUAAGUUCAGCCUCCCGCCUCUUCCCCCCAACGACUACCCAUCCCCCAAGGCCUAAAACCAGCCGAGAGAGUUAGUCAAACUGGGUACAGCCAGUUUGAAAAAGGAUACAACCUCUUUAGGAAAACAAAGACCCCCGCCCAAUAAAACCCCCUCUUAGUGGGCUUAAAAGCAGCCACCUAUAAAAAAAGCGUUACAGCUCAGACAAAACUCCCCCCUUAACCCCUCAAACCAAUUCUAAACCCAACCCUCUAUUUCCUACCAACUAUUAGGCCCUCCCACAAACCCUGGGAAAGACCCUGUUAAAACGAGUAAUAAGAGAAACGCCCCUCUCCUACCACAUGUGUGUACCUCGGAACGGACCAACCACCGACAGCUAACGACCCGCUACAGAGGGAAAGCUACACCACAAUAAUAACAAGAAAACCCAGCACACCCCCUCGUUAACCCAACACAGGCAUGUGUACCCUAGGAAAGACUAAAACAAAGAGAAGGAACUCGGCAAACACUAGCCUCGCCUGUUUACCAAAAACACCGCCUCUUGCAACAAACACAUAAGAGGUCCAGCCUGCCCAGUGACACACAUAGUUAAACGGCCGCGGUAUUCUGACCGUGCGAAGGUAGCGCAAUCACUUGCCUUUUAAUUGAAGGCUAGUAUGAACGGCUUCACGAGGGCUCAACUGUCUCCCCUUUGAAGUCAAUGAAACUGAUCUCCCCGUGCAAAAGCGGGGAUACCCUCGUAAGACGAGAAGACCCUAUGAAGCUUAAGACACAAGACAACCCACACCCCACGCUCCACAAAAGCAAAAGUGCCGAUAUUGUCCGCGUCUUCGGUUGGGGCGACCACGGAGAUAAACAAAACCCCCGCACGGACCCAGGCCAACACCCUUCAAAAAGACCCACAGGUCAAACUACAGAACUUCUGACCAUAAAAGAUCCGGCACACGCCGAUCAAUGGACCUAGUUACUCUAGGGAUAACAGCGCAAUCCCCUCCAAGAGCCCACAUCUACGAGGGGGCUUACGACCUCGAUGUUGGAUCAGGACACCCCAAUGGUGCAGCCGCUAUUAAAG
RNAcentral lists this ribosomal RNA (1263 nucleotides) under Diogenichthys atlanticus (longfin lanternfish). Its description in RNAcentral is "16S ribosomal RNA". It matches the Rfam family "Bacterial large subunit ribosomal RNA", at positions 619 to 2570 of the family's 2925-position model. Lineage: Eukaryota; Metazoa; Chordata; Actinopteri; Myctophiformes; Myctophidae. The record is from RNAcentral.